CAUUUGAAUGUGAAUCUCUAUAUAUUGGUUAUAAAAUUCCUCCUAUGUCACUUCAUUAUAAGAAAAAGAUUUUCAGCCAUCUUGAAUAUAAGGGAAGCAAUCUCUCCGGUUGGAUUUAGAUUCGUGGUUUCAAGAUCCAUUCCGCAUACAUGGUAGGACUUACACAGGCUUUGAGCCGGCUGUCUUAUGUUCUUUGUCUCUAUCAUACAUACUAUACAUUACUUUAUACCAGUCCGAGGUUCAAAAUCUGGGUCUGUAAUCGAACACAAAACUUGAAACAAGCUUAUAACAAUAGUGUAUAAUUGUUUAAUCAAAAAUUGAAACUUUGUCAGGCUUAUAUAUAUUAUAUAGAUUUCCUGUUAUCAAAUUCGUCUUUAAAUGACAGAGUGCAGAACGGCUUCUGUCUUGUUUUGACGCGUAUCAAAUCUCCUUGAAACUUUUGAUCAAUGAUCAUUAACCCUUUUAUGAAUGAAUUAAUGUUGACAGCUCGCUGAUUAAUCGCCAUACAUGUAUAUACGGAGAAUUUUCUUACUGACUCUACUCCUUGAAAUUGUAUCUUUAAUUUCAUUUCAUUCGCCAACCCAUGACAGAUCGCAUAACGACGAUGUGUUUGCCGUACUUGUACGCCUGUCCAUUGGACUGUCUGCUAAUAUGAAAAUACAAUCUACAUCUUACGUUCAUACACAUCAUGUCGCAAAUUCUUCAUGGCGGAUGUCUGUUAUUGCAAUGCACUCAAAUUUACUAUACAUGUCGCUCAUAUCUUAAAGCAAUGGAGUCCGGCUCAAGUACAGGUAUAUAUCUUCAGUUGAUAGGUUUGUUCUAGAUGCGAAAAAAAAACCCAAGUUACACUCUCUGAUGAAUAUCAUAGUGUAUAAUUGUCGCAUCCGGUAUCAUCAGCGGAAAUGACGUAAUAGUGCACUCUCCGGGUGAGGUAAUGGAGUACGCAUAUUAGCGAUUUCGUUUCUUGUCCAGGAAGCAAAAAUGUAAUACUAUGUUCAUCAGUUAAGAAGGUACUCUUCAUCGUCAUAAUGGCUGACUUCCUUUUAAAACAUGGAUGAAAAUAUAACUAUUUCAUUUACUAUUCAUUUAAAAAAAUUAUCGCCUAGCUACAUGUACCUCAGUAGGUUAGCACGUCGACUGCUGAAUUGUAGGUCGCGGGUUCAAGUUCAGUAGGGGUUUUAAAUUUUUUUCCCCAGAUUGCUUUCUAUUAAAACUGCUUUUAUUUUACUAUAUAAAGUAAAUUUGAGAGUUUGCAAUUUCAAAGUAUUGUUGUACAUAUCCUCCACUUUUCAUAUAUAUCAAAUUUCUCUGGUGUAACAUUCCUCCUUAAAUAAGUGUGUUGAACUUUGUUUAAAUAUGAAAUUAAACUUUGAUAUCAUGAGCAAUUUAUCAUAUCUAGACCAAGAAUGUUUCUAUCAAACUAACAACGUUUACCAUCGCUUUAGAUGCAUGUGUCCAAUAUUCUCCUGGAUUUGAAUACACAUAAUAACAGAACGACAUGAACAGUUGCAAUUUGAAGAUCAAGGGGAUUAAUUUUCAAAGCGAGUAAAAAUUAGACUGCUGCUAUACGAAGAUUCAAGGACACUGCCCUAUUAAUGUAAGCUAAUUUACAUGGAAUAAUGAGAUGACAAUGCUUCAAGACAUAUCCGAAACAUCUUUUAUGAGGACACAGUGGACUGUGACAUUAAAGUAUAAGGCGUAAAAACUAAUUACUGUUGAAACAUUUUCUUGAGUAAUUGAAUUUUCUUUCAUAUUCAAAAAAUAGGAAUUAACCAAUGUUAGCUGUCUUGAAACAACCAAUACAAUAACUCUGAAAGUUGAUCUGGAGGCUUUGGCAUGUUUGACUGAACAAUCGGAAUCUUUAAUUCUGGUAGCAGGAAUCAGUUGCGAAAACGAUCACCUGUCUACUGUCUAAUGAUCGCUAUUGAUUUCUUAAACACGGAAACCGGAAGCUAAAGUGGUUGUUCGGCAUGGAAGAUGAAAAACGACAGCCACUGAUUAAGAUCACUUUCAUCCCGCAGAAACCAGUGACACGUGAUUUACGAUAGUCGUCACGUCACCAGGACUAGACUAGUAUUAGUGACUGAGUUCAAAUGAAACGUGUGACUUGAGAAUUGGUCUUAAAUUUGCUUUACAAAUCGUAUUCGAGUUCUGCUUGGUGAACCACCAAGCAGAACUCAUUGAUUGUAAUAACUCUGAUCCAAGGCUAUUUUAAUGGUUGCUGACGUAGACCCUGAUCUGUCUGUUCGUGUCUUUAUAUAGCAAACUUCAAUAAUUAUUGUGUGCCUCUAUACCCUCAUCCUUCUCGCUUAAAGCGUACCAUGUACACGGCAUAUACAUCCAACAGAAAUUCAAAACUGUGUAAACUGUAAACUGGUUUUUCUUUCGCCAGCAGGAACUUUGUUUACCUUUAGAUAUAUCUCCUACCGCUACCAGAUCAGAUCUGUAUAAUGGCGUGGACUUCUGCCACAUUUGACGAAAGAAACGACAAAAUAAUGGCAAGGCUGCUGACUUAAGGAUAUUACUCUAUGCUACCUACCGUAGCGAUCUUAGAUCUUUCACCUCUACGACUUGGAUGAGACAUGUCGCCAGUCCAUUAUCAGCAGAGACUUGGGAUUGGUAUGGCAGACAUAGGAAACGUUGUGACUGUCAAGGAGGUGCCCAAUCCCUGCCAGAGAUUGGGUUCUUCCACAUCAUUACUCAAAGGCAAUCCAUGCAGAGAAAGAAAACGAUCGUUUUUUCACACAGCAAAGACAACUAAGAUUUUUGAAGAAAAAAAAAAAAGAAAGAAAGAAAAAAACAACAAACAUUCAUUCUAAGUAGAUACAUGUAAUAUCAAUUCAAACAAUUUAAAACUAAAUAAAUAUUGAACAUGUAAUAUGAAUAAGGUAAGUAUUUAUGUUCUAUAAUAAAUAUGCAACCACG
This is a long non-coding RNA of Ostrea edulis (European flat oyster), 2925 nucleotides long. RefSeq lists it as uncharacterized. The record is from RefSeq and is a predicted model, not a curated record. Lineage: Eukaryota; Metazoa; Mollusca; Bivalvia; Ostreida; Ostreidae. The transcript has 2 exons.